This 513-nucleotide ribosomal RNA is filed under the name Thalassiosira minuscula. RNAcentral's name for it is "partial Bacterial large subunit ribosomal RNA". It matches the Rfam family "Bacterial large subunit ribosomal RNA", at positions 1162 to 1680 of the family's 2925-position model. The record is from RNAcentral. Lineage: Eukaryota; Bacillariophyta; Thalassiosirophyceae; Thalassiosirales; Thalassiosiraceae.
CGCGGAAGAUGUAACGGGGCUAAAACUAUAUGCCGAAGCUGCGGAUUUGCAAUUUAUUGCAAGUGGUAGGGGAGCGUUCUGUAAGCCGAUGAAGGUGUAUUGAGAAGUAUGCUGGAGGUAUCAGAAGUGCGAAUGCUGACAUGAGUAGCGAUAAAGGGGGUGAAAAGCCCCCUCGCCGUAAGCGCAAGGUUUCCUACGCAACGUUCAUCGGCGUAGGGUGAGUCGGCCCCUAAGGCGAGGCAGAGAUGCGUAGCUGAUGGGAAGCAGGUUAAUAUUCCUGCACCUCGCGUAAGUGCGAUGGAGGGACGGAGAAGGUUAGGUGUACCCGGCGUUGGUUGUCCGGGGGAAAGGCGGUAGGUUUGGAUCUUUGGCAAAUCCGGGAUCCUUUAAGACCGAGCACCGAGACGAGCCUUUAAGGCGAAGUCACUGAUACCACGCUUCCAGGAAAAGCUCCUAAGCUUCAGCUUACGCAGACCGUACCGUAAACCGACACAGGUGGAUGAGGAGAGAAUC